This 1323-nucleotide long non-coding RNA is filed under the name Bos indicus x Bos taurus (hybrid cattle). RNAcentral describes it as "lncRNA (ENSBIXG00000014739.1)". Lineage: Eukaryota; Metazoa; Chordata; Mammalia; Artiodactyla; Bovidae. The record is from RNAcentral.
CUUUUUUAGGCGGGGGCCUUCCGUUUAAUAAUUCAGUAAUUAGAUGCACUGCUGUCAGCUGUGAAAUCCCUAACAGCUUUGCAAUGACAACAUAUUGAAGGCUUUGUGGUCCUCCAAGGUCUCUCUCGAUGUCUUUAACAGGAAGGACAGAGGUAGGUGAGAGCCUCAUUCAGGUGUGUGCCAACCCAGGUGUGGAGGCGGCUGUGGGUUUAUAGCCAAUGCCUUCAUUUCCUCUCUUUCAGAUCACAUUAGCUGGGAAAACCUAGGCAUGGCCUGAGAGAGUGGAAAAGAGUAAAAGUAAAAUGCCUUAUCAUCCAUGCACUAUGUCUCUGGCUGAGACUUUCGCCAAGGGGUCAUUCAGUGAACAUCACCUUGCUGGCGAUGCACAGAGCUGUCUCAACAUGUCAUCGUGUAAAGUCUGUCUGCACAAAGAUGUUUAAAAACAUGAUGUUAAAGACAAAUUUUUCAACUAGAACCCUCAAGAAAUGUCACUUCUGUGUCUUGCAAAGAGAGCCAGCAUUUUCUCUACGUAAACAUCUGCUGGGAACAUUUUAAGGGGGAAGUAUUUUAAAUAAUGACAUUUGUAGCUUCUUGUCUUUAAUAAGUUUGAAAAAAAAGGGAAAUGGGUUUGUGAUACAUUUCAUUGACAUGGAUCAAAUUGGCUGAUCAGAAAGUGAAAACUUUAACAUUAUGUUAGGUGGAAAUGGUUAAAAUUGUCUGUAUCAAUCAUACCUGAGAAGCACUCAUAAAUCAUGGGUUUCUUUAACUCCAAAAAACGCCAAGGGUUCAUUGUAAUGCUCACUUGCUUGUGGCAAUGAUACUAUGUUUAUAUGUAAACAAUUGGAUUUUCUAUUAAAUUAAGAGAAAAAAAAAAAACAACAAAAGCAAGAGUCAGGGAACCAUAAGUUAGCUAUACAAUAUGAACAAAGCAAAUUCAUUUGUGAUUAGAAUGGAAACUUCAUUUUAUCUUAACCAAUGUAGAUGUUUGGGGAUAAUUCUCUGUAGAAAAUGCAAGAUAUAUAGCUAGGCUUUUUAAAGUUCUAAGAAAGAGACACAUGCAGAUUGCCUUUGGUAAUAGGUAUUUAUGGCCAGGAUACCCUAGGAUGUAAUUUCAGAAGUAAUGCUGUCUUGUACUCUGGAUUUCACUACUUAAAAGAACUGGGGGUACUGCAGGCAUUAUGAAGUAUGACAAUGACUCAGUAUAAAGGUAGUUUAGUAGCUUUCAGAUUAGAAACUAAGUUCAAAUGAUUUAUCUUUAUUCACUUUCCCAACCUCAUUACUUCUUCAAAUAAAUAAUCUGAUUGAUGGCUUUGUAACUAUCCC